GGUUUUUUUUUUGUUCUGGUUGUUGACUUGAUACAUAUUACAAAGGACAUGUUAUCUGGGCAGUACAAAGGGAAACUGUGAAGAGUGGCACUUUUAUUGAUAGAAUGUAUCAACUUGUAUGCAUGACUCCACAGACAAGCUUAAACUGGAGCGGGAUUUCAGCAGAUACAACUAUCUGAGUCUGGACUCUGCCAAAGUGAAUGGUGUGGACGACGCUGCCAAUUUCAGAACUGUCAGGAAUGCCAUGCAGAUCGUGGGCUUUUCGGAUCCUGAGGCCGAGUCUGUCCUGGAGGUUGUGGCAGCUGUCUUGAAACUGGGGAACAUCGAGUUCAAGCCUGAAUCACGAAUGAACGGUUUGGAUGAAAGCAAAAUCAAAGACAAAAAUGGUAA
RNAcentral lists this long non-coding RNA (390 nucleotides) under Rattus norvegicus (Norway rat). RNAcentral's name for it is "long non-coding RNA NONRATT029378". Lineage: Eukaryota; Metazoa; Chordata; Mammalia; Rodentia; Muridae. The record is from RNAcentral.